RNAcentral lists this ribosomal RNA (574 nucleotides) under uncultured bacterium. Its description in RNAcentral is "partial 16S ribosomal RNA". It matches the Rfam family "Bacterial small subunit ribosomal RNA", at positions 355 to 922 of the family's 1533-position model. The record is from RNAcentral.
UGGGGAAUUUUGGACAAUGGGCGAAAGCCUGAUCCAGCAAUGCCGCGUGUGUGAAGAAGGCCUUCGGGUUGUAAAGCACUUUUGUCCGGAAAGAAAUCCUUGGCUCUAAUACAGUCGGGGGAUGACGGUACCGGAAGAAUAAGCACCGGCUAACUACGUGCCAGCAGCCGCGGUAAUACGUAGGGUGCAAGCGUUAAUCGGAAUUACUGGGCGUAAAGCGUGCGCAGGCGGUUUGCUAAGACCGAUGUGAAAUCCCCGGGCUCAACCUGGGAACUGCAUUGGUGACUGGCAGGCUAGAGUAUGGCAGAGGGGGGUAGAAUUCCACGUGUAGCAGUGAAAUGCGUAGAGAUGUGGAGGAAUACCGAUGGCGAAGGCAGCCCCCUGGGCCAAUACUGACGCUCAUGCACGAAAGCGUGGGGAGCAAACAGGAUUAGAUACCCUGGUAGUCCACGCCCUAAACGAUGUCAACUAGUUGUUGGGGAUUCAUUCCUUAGUAACGUAGCUAACGCGUGAAGUUGACCGCCUGGGGGAGUACGGUCGCAAGAUUAAAACUCAAAUGAAUUGACGGGGUCCU